This 490-nucleotide ribosomal RNA is filed under the name uncultured bacterium. Its description in RNAcentral is "partial 16S ribosomal RNA". It matches the Rfam family "Bacterial small subunit ribosomal RNA", at positions 29 to 507 of the family's 1533-position model. The record is from RNAcentral.
AGUGAACGCUGGCGGUAGGCCUAACACAUGCAAGUCGAACGGCAGCACAGGAGAGCUUGCUCUCUGGGUGGCGAGUGGCGGACGGGUGAGGAAUACAUCGGAAUCUGCCCAGUCGUGGGGGAUAACGUAGGGAAACUUACGCUAAUACCGCAUACGACCUUCGGGUGAAAGAGGGGGAUCGCAAGACCUCUCGCGAUUGGAUGAGCCGAUGUCGGAUUAGCUGGUUGGCGGGGUAAUGGCCCACCAAGGCGACGAUCCGUAGCUGGUCUGAGAGGAUGAUCAGCCACACUGGAACUGAGACACGGUCCAGACUCCUACGGGAGGCAGCAGUGGGGAAUAUUGGACAAUGGGCGCAAGCCUGAUCCAGCCAUACCGCGUGGGUGAAGAAGGCCUUCGGGUUGUAAAGCCCUUUUGUUGGGAAAGAAAUCUUUCAGGCUAAUACCCUGGGAGGAUGACGGUACCCAAAGAAUAAGCACCGGCUAACUUCGUG